CAUGUCUAGUAUAAGCAUCUAUACGGUGAAACUGCGAAUGGCUCAUUAAAUCAGUUAUCGUUUAUUUGAUAGUACCUUACUACAUGGAUAACCGUGGUAAUUCUAGAGCUAAUACAUGCUAAAAACCCCGACUUCGGAAGGGGUGUAUUUAUUAGAUAAAAAACCAAUGCCCUUCGGGGCUCCUUGGUGAUUCAUAAUAACUUAACGAAUCGCAUGGCCUUGCGCCGGCGAUGGUUCAUUCAAAUUUCUGCCCUAUCAACUUUCGAUGGUAGGAUAGUGGCCUACCAUGGUUUCAACGGGUAACGGGGAAUUAGGGUUCUAUUCCGGAGAGGGAGCCUGAGAAACGGCUACCACAUCCAAGGAAGGCAGCAGGCGCGCAAAUUACCCAAUCCCGACACGGGGAGGUAGUGACAAUAAAUACUGAUACAGGGCUCUUUUGGGUCUUGUAAUUGGAAUGAGUACAAUUUAAAUCCCUUAACGAGGAACAAUUGGAGGGCAAGUCUGGUGCCAGCAGCCGCGGUAAUUCCAGCUCCAAUAGCGUAUAUUAAAGUUGUUGCAGUUAAAAAGCUCGUAGUUGAACCUUGGGCCUGGCUGGCCGGUCCGCCUCACCGCGUGCACUGGUCCGGCCGGGCCUUUCCUCCUGGGGAGCCGCAUGCCCUUCACUGGGUGUGUCGGGGAACCAGGACUUUUACUUUGAAAAAAUUAGAGUGUUCAAAGCAGGCCUAUGCUCGAAUACAUUAGCAUGGAAUAAUAGAAUAGGACGUGUGGUUCUAUUUUGUUGGUUUCUAGGACCGCCGUAAUGAUUAAUAGGGAUAGUCGGGGGCAUCAGUAUUCAAUUGUCAGAGGUGAAAUUCUUGGAUUUAUUGAAGACUAACUACUGCGAAAGCAUUUGCCAAGGAUGUUUUCAUUAAUCAGUGAACGAAAGUUAGGGGAUCGAAGACGAUCAGAUACCGUCGUAGUCUUAACCAUAAACUAUGCCGACUAGGGAUCG
RNAcentral lists this ribosomal RNA (991 nucleotides) under Leotiomycetes sp. Its description in RNAcentral is "SSU rRNA". It matches the Rfam family "Eukaryotic small subunit ribosomal RNA", at positions 54 to 1055 of the family's 1831-position model. The record is from RNAcentral. Lineage: Eukaryota; Fungi; Ascomycota; Leotiomycetes.